This 72-nucleotide transfer RNA is filed under the name Ictidomys tridecemlineatus (thirteen-lined ground squirrel). RNAcentral describes it as "Spermophilus tridecemlineatus (thirteen-lined ground squirrel) tRNA". It matches the Rfam family "tRNA". Rfam says of the family: Transfer RNA (tRNA) molecules are approximately 80 nucleotides in length. Their secondary structure includes four short double-helical elements and three loops (D, anti-codon, and T loops). Further hydrogen bonds mediate the characteristic L-shaped molecular structure. tRNAs have two regions of fundamental functional importance: the anti-codon, which is responsible for specific mRNA codon recognition, and the 3' end, to which the tRNAs corresponding amino acid is attached (by aminoacyl-tRNA synthetases). tRNAs cope with the degeneracy of the genetic code in two manners: having more than one tRNA (with a specific anti-codon) for a particular amino acid; and 'wobble' base-pairing, i.e. permitting non-standard base-pairing at the 3rd anti-codon position. Lineage: Eukaryota; Metazoa; Chordata; Mammalia; Rodentia; Sciuridae. The record is from Rfam by way of RNAcentral.
UGGGGUGUGGCUCAGUGGUAAAGCGCUUGCCUAGUACACGUGAGGCACUGGGUUCAGUUCUCAGCACUUCAU